GAUGAACGCUGGCGGCGUGCCUAAUACAUGCAAGUCGAGCGAACGGACGAGAAGCUUGCUUCUCUGAUGUUAGCGGCGGACGGGUGAGUAACACGUGGAUAACCUACCUAUAAGACUGGGAUAACUUCGGGAAACCGGAGCUAAUACCGGAUAAUAUUUUGAACCGCAUGGUUCAAAAGUGAAAGACGGUCUUGCUGUCACUUAUAGAUGGAUCCGCGCUGCAUUAGCUAGUUGGUAAGGUAACGGCUUACCAAGGCAACGAUGCAUAGCCGACCUGAGAGGGUGGUCGGCCACACUGGAACUGAGACACGGUCCAGACUCCUACGGGAGGCCGCAGUAGGGAAUCUUCCGCAAUGGGCGAGAGCCUGACGGAGCAACGCCGCGUGAGUGAUGAAGGUCUUCGGAUCGUAAAACUCUGUUAUUAGGGAAGAACAUAUGUGUAAGUAACUGUGCACAUCUUGACGGUACCUAAUCAGAAAGCCACGGCUAACUACGUG
Molecule: ribosomal RNA, 497 nt
Filed under: uncultured bacterium
Lineage: Bacteria
Description: partial 16S ribosomal RNA
Rfam family: Bacterial small subunit ribosomal RNA
Source: RNAcentral